UACGAAGGGGGCUAGCGUUGUUCGGAAUCACUGGGCGUAAAGGGCGCGUAGGCGGCUUUAUAAGUCGGGGGUGAAAGCCUGUGGCUCAACCACAGAAUUGCCUUCGAUACUGUAGAGCUUGAGACCGGAAGAGGUAAGUGGAACUGCGAGUGUAGAGGUGAAAUUCGUAGAUAUUCGCAAGAGCACCAGUGGCGAAGGCGGCUUACUGGUCCGGUUCUGACGCUGAGGCGCGAAAGCGUGGGGAGCAAACAGG
This 253-nucleotide ribosomal RNA is filed under the name uncultured bacterium. RNAcentral's name for it is "partial 16S ribosomal RNA". It matches the Rfam family "Bacterial small subunit ribosomal RNA", at positions 524 to 776 of the family's 1533-position model. The record is from RNAcentral.